RNAcentral lists this ribosomal RNA (318 nucleotides) under uncultured eukaryote. RNAcentral describes it as "partial large subunit ribosomal RNA". It matches the Rfam family "Eukaryotic large subunit ribosomal RNA", at positions 40 to 350 of the family's 3401-position model. The record is from RNAcentral.
AUAUUAUUAAGCGGAGGAAAAGAAACUAACUAGGAUGCCCUCAGUAACGGCGAGUGAAGCGGGCAAAGCUCAACCUGAAAAUCGAUCAUCCACACGGGUGUAUCGAAUUGUGGGCUAGAGACGCAUGAUCAGUGUGUGACCCAGGUAUAACUCUUUUGAAACAAAGGAUCAUAGAGGGUGAGAAUCCCGUCUGUGACCUGGAGCUUGCCGCGUACGAUCUGCGUUCAUAGAGUCGAGUUGUUUGGGAUUGCAGCUCUAAAUGGGUGGUAAAUUUCAUCUAAAGCUAAAUAUUGGCGGGAGACCGAUAGCGCACAAGUA